Molecule: ribosomal RNA, 494 nt
Filed under: uncultured bacterium
Lineage: Bacteria
Description: partial 16S ribosomal RNA
Rfam family: Bacterial small subunit ribosomal RNA
Source: RNAcentral
GACGAACGCUGGCGGCGUGCUUAACACAUGCAAGUCGAACGGUGAAGCGCCUUCCUUUUUGGUGGCUGGGGAUGUGUGGCAAACGGAUGAGUAACACGUGAGUAACCUGCGCCCUUCUGCUGGGUAACCGCAUGAAAGUGUGGCUAAUACGGGAUAUUCUGGGUCUGUCGCAUGAUGGGUCUGGGAAAGAUAUUGUUUCGGUGGGGGAUGGGCUCGCGGCCUAUCGGCUUGUUGGGGGGGUGAUGGCCUACCAGGGCGGUGACGGGUAGCCGGCCUGAGAGGGUGGACGGUCACACUGGGAAUGCGACACGGCCCGGACUGAUACGGGAGGCAGCAGUGGGGAAUAUAGCACAGUGGGCGCAAGCCUCAUGCAGCGACGCCGCGUGAGAGAUAGAGGCCUUCGGGUGGUGAACCUCUUUCGCCAGUGAAGCAGGACUGCCUCGGCUGUAGGUGGGUUGACGGUAGCUGGAUAAGAAGCGCCGGCUAACUACGUG